This 89-nucleotide transfer RNA is filed under the name Saccharomyces cerevisiae (brewer's yeast). Lineage: Eukaryota; Fungi; Ascomycota; Saccharomycetes; Saccharomycetales; Saccharomycetaceae. The record is from RNAcentral.
CUCUCGGUAGCCAAGUUGGUUUAAGGCGCAAGACUCUAAUUUAUCACUACGAAAUCUUGAGAUCGGGCGUUCGACUCGCCCCCGGGAGA